GCCAUGGUACAACAGCUUGGCCAAGCAGCUCAGUUAGCAAAAUUUGACAUUAAGUCAGCUUUCAGGAUAAUUCCAGUACAUCCGGCGGACUUUGAACUACUGGGUAUCAAUUUCCAAGGCUUGUAUUAUUUUGACAAAUGUUUGCCCUUUGGUUGUGCAAAGUUUAGUUCCUUUCUACAGUGGUGUAUGCAGCAGGACCUCCCAAAUGGCCAGCUUAUGCACUAUUUGGACGAUUUUCUCACAGGGGGUAAGUCAGACACAGCUGAAUGUAACCAAAACCUGCAUAUUUGUCUCAACCGUUUGAGCCAAUUUGGUGUUCUGGUAGCUUCCGAAAAAACAGUGGAACCCACUACCUGCAUCAUGUUUCUAUGGCUAUGCAAAAUUGGCGCCGUUACCAUGGAGAUCAGGGGCUUGAUUGAAACAGGUAAAAAUAAGAUCACAAAGCACCAGUUGCAGUCACUGGUGGGUAAACUCAACUUUAUAUGCCGCGCUAUACCGAUGGGUCGUGCAUUCUGCCGCAGAUUUAUUGACCUCAUGUGCACUGUAAAAUCGCCGCAUCAUCGAAUCCGGAUUACACGGAUGUGGCUAACAUUCUUGUCGGGUUUCAAUGUUAUAUCAGUGUUUCAGGAAAGUGCAGCUAUACCGGCAGUGCAGGCUUUGGUGCAAAUUUUCAAGGACACUGGGUCUCGGGAAAGUGGCCCCAGCAUUGGGUUGAGGACGGUACCACUAGAGAUAUGACAUUACUGGAGUUAUUUCCAAUUGCGUUGUCUAUGCAAUUGUGGGGUAAGUCUCUGGCUAACAAAAAGUCUUAUUCAACUGUGAUAACCAAGCGGUAGUGUACAUUCUCAACAAACAAUCCUGUGAAGGGCCUAAGACGAUGUCAUUGGUCAGACAGCUUGUUCUGCUUUCCCUCAAAUUUAACAUUCUUUUCAAAGCUAAGUACCUGAGUACGCACGAUAACAUUAUUGCUGACGCAUUAUCGAGAUUUCAGUGGGACUGCUUUGUCAAGUAGCUCCAACUGCAGACCACCACCAGACACCGCUGCCAGACGACAUUUGGGGGAUUUAGAAGCUGAAGCCAUGCGACUGCUACAGCUGUCUUUUACAAGCAAUACUUGGUCAACUUACCAAACAGGUCUAACAGUAUUUCAGCACUUCCGGUCUACCCACGAUCUGAGGGAUGAAUGGCCAGUUCCGAUAAGUCACAUUGUUCAUUUCAUUGCUUCAAUGUCUGUGAGCCAAUGCUCUAUCAAUACCGUCAGAACCUAUAUUUCUUCAAUAGAUAUUUCAUUGCUUCAAUGUCUGUGAGCCAAUGCUCUAUCAAUACCGUCAGAACCUAUAUUUCUUCAAUAGCAACAUAUCAUAAAUUAAAUGGUCUUGUACACUGUUGCGACAAUUUCCUCAUCAACAAAGUUAUCUCUGGCAUGUUUAAGAAGCGUUCCCGCCAAGAUACUCGGAAACCGAUCAAAUCUGAUCUUCUUCAAUUAAUUAUCUCUAACUUGCGUUUUGUUUGUAAUUCCGCCUAUGAAUAUCGUCUUUUCUCAGCAGCGUAUUGCGCUGCCUUUUUCGGAUUUUUCAGAGUAGGUGAGCUGGUACAGGGCAGGUUAGGGCAGGGAAUCGCCAUUCAAGAUAUCUCUCAGCGAGUUGCUGACGUAAUAUUCAAACUCCGGCAUUCAAAAGCCGACAGAUCCGGAAAGGGCGUCUCUAUCUCUAUUGCCGCGCUACCCUCACACCCUCUCUGUCCAGUCAAGGCCAUGUCGGAUUAUCUGCAGAUACGUCCUCUCGGUCCUACACAGGCAUUUGUUCAUUUUAACCAUACACCUGUUACCAGAUAUCAAUUUCAAGCUGUCUUGAAAAAAGCUCUCGCUCAUGGUGGCGUUGAUACUUCAGAGUUCUCGUCACACUCUUUUCGGAUAGGCGCCGCUACAUCGGCAGCAGUAAAUGGCGUAUAUUUCAUAACAUAACCAUGUUUUCUUUUCCCACCCCUUAUUAACUAUUUUAUGUUGCAGUAUGGAUAGUAGGAUCAAGCUACAUUUCGAGGGCCGACCAGUUUGUUUCCCGGCAUCAUAUGCGCCCAACUGAUUGUUUGUGGCUGGGGAGAGGUGGCCGCAGAUGGGAGGAUCUUAACAAGGAGGUGGAGGCACAAAUGGCCACACGUAAACAUUCCAAAGCCAUAAUUAUCCACCUCGGGUACAACGACCUGGUCGCGACCAAAUCAAGUGCUCUGUACCUUGAAAUUUAUAUGUCCCUUCUCCGGAUACAGCUACUGAUGCCAUCAACCAAAAUCAUCUGGUCAAACAAAAUGCCGAGGAGGCACUGGAUGGGGCCACAUUCUUACUCGCCAUCGACAAGGCCAGGUCGACCCUCAACCGUCGUGUCGGUAACCGAGUUAGGGAGCUCGGAGGUAUUCAGAUUCACCACCCAGCCAUCUGGGCCAUAUAUAGUGAUAUGUACAUUUGGGAUGGCGUCCAUCUCUCCAAUAAAGAGCCAUGUGACUGUCGAAUGAGACGACUGGCGGAAGGCAUCUUACACUCUCGUGUCACACACAGGGAGUGUCUUCUUUAUGCCUUUGCUGAAUAAACUGAUAUUCUCACAACCCCGUGGACUGUAAUCACUUGGCAACUAAGGGUUACACAUAAGGUCUACAACAUUGGAGCCCCCAGUGAGGAUACAGCGGUGUUCCAGCGUCUCAACAGUGACCAACAUAGACUUGAUGAUGUGCUGCUAGGUAUA
Haliotis rufescens (red abalone) is the source of this 2732-nucleotide long non-coding RNA. RefSeq lists it as uncharacterized. Lineage: Eukaryota; Metazoa; Mollusca; Gastropoda; Lepetellida; Haliotidae. The transcript is spliced from 3 exons. The record is from RefSeq and is a predicted model, not a curated record.